Molecule: long non-coding RNA, 335 nt
Organism: Melanotaenia boesemani (Boeseman's rainbowfish)
Lineage: Eukaryota; Metazoa; Chordata; Actinopteri; Atheriniformes; Melanotaeniidae
Exons: 3
Source: RefSeq, a predicted model, not a curated record
GCUGGACGGAACACUUCAAGUGACACGCUUUCCCUCUUCUCAUCAAGUGAGCAGCGUUCCGUCAUCAACCCUCCUCCCAAGGCUUUGUUAAAAAGAUGUCUGCCACUGCAGCUGAUGUAGAGUGAACCCUGACCCUCCCAACCACUCCACGACUGAUUCUACUGGUUGCUGGUGAUGGAGUCACAUUGGGCCACUGGAUGAUCAGCAUUGAAAGCCAGGUCAUCUGUGAAGGCACCCAAAAAACCUUCAUCUCAGGGCUUGCUGCAGUUUUCGCAACAUUCUACGUGUUCAACCUGGAAUACCAAGAAGAAGCUGCAAGGACCCUGGAGUUUGUG